AGAGUUUGAUCAUGGCUCAGAACGAACGCUGGCGGCAGGCCUAACACAUGCAAGUCGAGCGAGACCUUCGGGUCUAGCGGCGGACGGGUUAGUAACGCGUGGGAACGUGCCCUUCUCUGCGGAAUAGCCACUGGAAACGGUGAGUAAUACCGCAUACGCCCUUCGGGGGAAAGAUUUAUCGGAGAAGGAUCGGCCCGCGUUAGAUUAGAUAGUUGGUGGGGUAAUGGCCUACCAAGUCUACGAUCUAUAGCUGGUUUUAGAGGAUGAUCAGCAACACUGGGACUGAGACACGGCCCAGACUCCUACGGGAGGCAGCAGUGGGGAAUCUUAGACAAUGGGCGCAAGCCUGAUCUAGCCAUGCCGCGUGUGUGAUGAAGGUCUUAGGAUCGUAAAGCACUUUCGCCAGGGAUGAUAAUGACAGUACCUGGUAAAGAAACCCCGGCUAACUCCGUGCCAGCAGCCGCGGUAAUACGGAGGGGGUUAGCGUUGUUCGGAAUUACUGGGCGUAAAGCGUACGUAGGCGGAUCAGAAAGUAAGGGGUGAAAUCCCAGGGCUCAACCCUGGAACUGCCUCUUAAACUCCUGGUCUUGAGUUCGAGAGAGGUGAGUGGAAUUCCAAGUGUAGAGGUGAAAUUCGUAGAUAUUUGGAGGAACACCAGUGGCGAAGGCGGCUCACUGGCUCGAUACUGACGCUGAGGUACGAAAGUGUGGGGAGCAAACAGGAUUAGAUACCCUGGUAGUCCACACCGUAAACGAUGAAUGCCAGUCGUCGGGCAGUAUACUGUUCGGUGACACACCUAACGGAUUAAGCAUUCCGCCUGGGGAGUACGGUCGCAAGAUUAAAACUCAAGGGAAUUGACGGGGGCCCGCACAAGCGGUGGGAGCAUGUGGGUUUAUUCGAAGCAACCGCGCAGAACCUUACCAACCCUUUGACAUCCUGUGCUAACCCGAGAGAUCGGGCGUUCACUUCCGGUGACGCAUGACAGGUGCU
This 990-nucleotide ribosomal RNA is filed under the name uncultured bacterium. Its description in RNAcentral is "bacterial SSU rRNA". It matches the Rfam family "Bacterial small subunit ribosomal RNA", at positions 8 to 1042 of the family's 1533-position model. The record is from RNAcentral.